Non-coding RNA from Danio rerio (zebrafish), 363 nucleotides. NCBI's taxonomy places the organism in Eukaryota, Metazoa, Chordata, Actinopteri, Cypriniformes, Danionidae. The record is from RefSeq and is a predicted model, not a curated record.
GUGAAUGACAUCAAGGAAACAGGAUCAAAAAGAUCAUUCAUUAUAGAAUGUUUCAUAGUUGGUUAUAUUUUUCAGGUCCUCCUGAUCAUUCUGUUCUCCUGGUUGUGAGGAUGUGCAGAGGCUGUAUUUGUUAGUGUUAAAAGACUUUUGCAGCUGUAUCCAGACAUACAAGCAGCCGACAAAGAGUUCUGGAGCAGGACAGACAGGUAGUUCACAGUGGCUAGGCUAGAAGUUUAUACUUGGGUGGCCAGAAAGUGGCCUCCGCUAUUUUGGGGGGUCCAUACAAAUACACCAGUGUAAGCUAUACUAUUGCACUGAAAAAAUUAAAUGAAAGAAUUAAUUAAUCGGUUGAACACAAAAUAU